UACAGAGGGUGCGAGCGUUAAUCGGAAUUACUGGGCGUAAAGCGCACGUAGGCGGUUGAUUAGGUCGAUUGUGAAAUCCCUGGGCUUAACCUGGGAACUGCAGUCGAUACUGUUCAACUAGAGUAUGGUAGAGGGAAGUGGAAUUUCCGGUGUAGCGGUGAAAUGCGUAGAUAUCGGAAGGAACACCAGUGGCGAAGGCGACUUUCUGGACCAAUACUGACACUGAGGUGCGAAAGCGUGGGUAGCGAACAGG
This 253-nucleotide ribosomal RNA is filed under the name uncultured bacterium. Its description in RNAcentral is "partial 16S ribosomal RNA". It matches the Rfam family "Bacterial small subunit ribosomal RNA", at positions 524 to 776 of the family's 1533-position model. The record is from RNAcentral.